This 396-nucleotide long non-coding RNA is filed under the name Dicentrarchus labrax (European seabass). Its description in RNAcentral is "lncRNA (ENSDLAG00005003307.2)". Lineage: Eukaryota; Metazoa; Chordata; Actinopteri; Moronidae. The record is from RNAcentral.
AUGCAGAGGCACAGAAAUAUGAUUGCGGCGGUCCUUCUGCUGUGUGCUGUGGAGCUGCACUCCUUUGGUGUUGUGGCAGCGCAGAAUCAGACCUGCGCACCCAGUCAAGAGGAGGCAUGUUUUGUGCCAGCUGACUAUCUGAAUGCACUUGGUCCUGUCCACGUAGAGGUGUGUGCUGGUAAGAAACUCAACAUCCCUCUGGAGCACGUCCCUGCAUACAAAGCCUGUCAUUGGAUCAGAGGAGCAGAGCCAGUACUCACAGUAAACGGGAGUAGCUCCAUGGUCCUACCACCGCUCUCUGAGACAGAUUCAGGGGAGUACACACUGAGCUGUGAAACUAACAGUGAGACCAGGUCCUCGGUGAGUGUGUCUCUUCAUGUAGCAAUGGGUGAGUGA